This is a long non-coding RNA of Chelonia mydas (Green sea turtle), 2953 nucleotides long. RefSeq lists it as uncharacterized. The transcript is spliced from 2 exons. NCBI's taxonomy places the organism in Eukaryota, Metazoa, Chordata, Testudines, Cheloniidae. The record is from RefSeq and is a predicted model, not a curated record.
UUUACAUGUAUUGGCUGUGUGACUGAUCCUGAAGACUUUACACUAACAAAUUAGUCCUGCUUAAUAGAAAGAAUUUUUGGUAAAGAACUAAAAGAUUAUUGGAUUAGAGUCUAAAAGCAAAUCCUUGUACUGAGAUCAACCUAGAAGACUAAAUAAAAAACACAUCUAGCCAGAUAGCUCUUAGUAUCCUGAGUUUUUGUAGUGAAAUCUUGUUUUGUUGGCAUUAUGCCUCUUCUUUACUGUUCCUGCAGUAGUCAGUUUGGGAUUUUCUCUGCACAGAAAGUAAUAGGGAGUCCAUUAGCAAUAUCAGGCAUUUAAAUUUUAAAAAUGCUGAUGAGUAGAAUGUUUUGUAGCAAUCUGAAUAUUUUUGUAACUUUCACAUUUGUUUAAUCAAUACUUUGUAAGGCUUUCUUAUAGAUACUCUGUUUUCUUAAAAUUCCAUUGCUCUUCAUAAUAAUUGCUGUUUGAGAGUAAGAGAAUUCAGUAGCUAAUUACAUCUGUGCUAGUGAAAACAUAGCUGCUUAAAAUCUUUUCACCUGUAAAUUCCACCAUUAGCUGCAGAAUUCCAAAAUCCCAGGCUUUGGGGACCAUCAGACAUAAAAUUGUCCAGUGGCCUUGAAAUUCUUUAUUCAUCUUAGUACGCUUGUUUGCAGCUACAAAUGAAAAUACACAAGGUGUGGGCCAAAAUUUUUCAUAUGGUCAUAUUGUUGAAUUUUUACCUGUGAAAUAGUAACACAUGUCUUCCUGACCCCAGCUCAUUACAAAAUGAAGACAACCUAACUUCACAAUUGCGGGACUUUCUAUAAUUAUUUUUUUAAUGUAUUGUGGUAGCACCUAGAGGCCCCGAUUGGGGACCCCGUUGUCCUAAGCACUGCUCAAACAUUUAUAUCAGUGUUUCUCAAACUUUUUGUGCUAGCAACUCCAUUUGGAUUUUUUUUUUUUAAAAGGUACACACGCACACACAUCCCACUAGAAAAAAUUGCGACCUUCUACCUUCAUCCCCCGCUCAGGGCUGGGCUUCAGCCGCGCUCGGAGCAUGGGACUCCGGACUUCAGCCCCCUGCUGCCCUCAGAGCUCCCAGCUGGGGCUUUCUGCCUUGGCGACUCCAUCAAAAUGGAGUCGCAACCCACGUUUUGAGAACCGCUGACUUAUAUGAAAUGGUCCCUCCCCCGAAGAAUUUAGUAUAAAAAUCAGACCAUUUUUAUGGCUCACUCAUCUUAAAAAAAAAAAAGAAGAAGAAGAAAAAAAAGGUAUCAAAUUCUGUUUUGUUUGGCAAUGUUAUAUUAUGUGAUCUAUAGCACCAAUGCUAGAUGUCCCUCCACUUAUUCAUGCCUUAAACUACGGCCAUAUUUUACAUCAGAUGUGGUUGCAUGUUGUUAGUGAAUGAAGAUUCCACUGUACAGAAGUUUCUUAAAAUGCAUAGGAAUGAUUUGGGGUGCCAAUGAAUCACUAUAACACCCAUUCCUACCUCAGCCCAAGUGCAGCUUUUGUUUUUGAGGAGGUGAGGGUUCUCUUUGAUGAGGUGCUGCCUUUGGCCAGAAUCUCAUGUUGUUCCUAACAACAAUGUGCAGUCCUGAAUAAAUGUAAGGCCUUGUCUACACUACACAGUUUUGUCAAAAAAAGCCAGCUUUCGUCAACAAAACAGUGGAAGUAUACACACUACAAUGCCGAUUUAGCUCUCCUGCUACACCGACAAAAUAAAAUCACCACAACGAGAGGCAUAGGGUUUUUUGUGACAAAGUUAGAUCAGCGCAGUGUCAGCGUACUCACUGUGCUUGCUUAUGUUGCCCUAAUUGGUCUCCAGGAGGUGUCUCUCAAUGCCCAUCGUGACCGCUCUGGUCAGCAGUUUGAACUCCACUGCCCUGAAGGUACACAGGUAUGUGCCCCUCCCACAUUUAAAGGCCUGGGAAUUUUUGAAAUUCCUCUUCCUGUUUGCUAGGCAUGGACAGUUCACGCAGUAUUUUCCCAGCUGACCAUGCCUGCUUUCCGCAGUAGACACGCUCCUGUGUGGAGCACACGAGAGCUGUUGGCCCUGCUGGAUCUGUGGAAAGAGGAAGCUGUGCAGUUGCAGCUUCUCUCCAGCUGUAGGAACUUUGAUACCUACAGGCAGAUAGCUAGUGAGAUGCCAGAGAAGGGGCACAAGAGGGACAUGCGGCAGUGCUGUGCUAAGAUCAAGAAGCUGAGGCAGGCGUACCAGAAGGCCAGGGAGGCCAACCGUUGUUCUCGUGCGGUGCUGAAGACAUGCCGCUUCUAGAAGGAGCUGCACGCCAUCCUCGACGGCGACCUCACCUCCUCCACCACCAAGAGCUCCAUGAAUACUUCAGGGGGACUGGAGGCAGCGACCAGUCGAGUCAACCCCAAGGACGAAGUGGUAGACAAAGAAGUUGAGCUGGAGAAGAAUGUGGAACACACCACAGUGUCGCUUGGUGGCAUGACGAGUCAGGACCUCUUUUCCAUUCCAGGGUAUCUAGCCAGUCCCAGCACUCUGGCUCUGGCAUACCUGAAGAAGGAGAUGCAAGCUCUUGUAAGCAUGCAUUGUGCUUUGAUACUGCAUGGUGAGAGGAGAUUGAGCUCUCACAUACUUUAUGUGGGAGAGGAGGCAUAAGGAACAGAAAUUAACAAAUGAGCCUAUGCAACUGUGCAGUGGGGGCCUGGUGCAAAAGUUCGUUAAUGUACACCAGGAUGUCGUGCGAAUCAUCCAUAGAGAUCUCUAAAAAGCUUUUCUGUAGGUAUUCUGCAAUUCUCUGCUGAAGGUUCCUUGGCAAAGUUGCCUUGUUUCGCUGUAGGGAUUGUUGCUGCGCAAAUUGGAAAUUAUUUCAACAGGGACCAGAGCAGCACACAGGCGAGCAGCAUAUGGACCUGGUCUGAAGCCGCAUGCAUGCAGGAGAUGCACCCUUGCAUCCUGGAUUACCCUCAGGAGUGAGAUAUCAGGUUCAAUUACCCCAGCCUGUGG